AGAGUGCUAAGAAAUGGCAAAAAUAAAUUCUGAACAAGAGAUCAUCUUUCCUCAGAAACAGACUGUGUAUCUGGGUUAGAGUCACCCGUCAGAAUUAUAUGCGGAAUUCAGUAAAGAUCUUCAAAAAUAUUCUUAAUUAUGGUAAAGUUAUCUCAACAGCUGGAUGCAUACUUUUUUCACAUAUUAUUUUUCAUCUCCCCAGACCUCAAAAAGCUCUCCUGAAAAAAAUGUACCAUUGUUCGUCUGCUGAAAAAAAUACUUAAAAGUUUGACUGCAGCAGUAAUAUAAUCAACCAAACUCAAAGGAAAACCAGGCCGGGCUGGUCACCACUUAAAGCAACAGGCUGUCUUGCCACCUUUGACCCUAGUGCAAAGCUGUGUCUGGCACAAAGUAGGAUCAUAAACACUGAACAAAUGAAUGGAUGAAUGAAUGUACGAACAGUUGCUGGAUUUGUCCCCUGUUCCGAAAUCUGCGAGCCACACCGAUAAGUAGGCCAUCCACCGUCUCUACUACCUCCGAUACAAAACCAGUGUUGGAGGCAAGAAUUCUCGGUGUCUGACAACUUGCCUAUGUCGUCAGUUUCUCAAGGUGUGUCAUGAUAUGAAACAGGUUGAGAAGCUUUGCCCUACAUUUCUGUAUCACUGUGCCUCACCCAGGAUCUGAAAGGUAGAAAGCACAAGCGUUUGCUGAAGCAAUGAAUAAAUAAAUGCC
Molecule: long non-coding RNA, 711 nt
Organism: Felis catus (domestic cat)
Lineage: Eukaryota; Metazoa; Chordata; Mammalia; Carnivora; Felidae
Exons: 3
Source: RefSeq, a predicted model, not a curated record